This 253-nucleotide ribosomal RNA is filed under the name uncultured bacterium. RNAcentral describes it as "partial 16S ribosomal RNA". It matches the Rfam family "Bacterial small subunit ribosomal RNA", at positions 524 to 776 of the family's 1533-position model. The record is from RNAcentral.
UACGGGGGGGGCAAGCGUUGUUCGGAAUUACUGGGCGUAAAGGGCUCGUAGGCGGCCAACUAAGUCGGAUGUGAAAUCCCCAGGCUUAACCUGGGAACUGCAUCCGAUACUGGAUGGCUUGAAUCCGGGAGAGGGAUGCAGAAUUCCAGGUGUAGCGGUGAAAUGCGUGGAUAUCUGGAGGAAUACCGGUGGCGAAGGCGGAUCUCUGGGCCUUACCUGACGCUCAGGUGCGAAAGCUAGGGGAGCGAACAGG